CUACGGGUUGCAGCAGUGGGGAAUAUUGGACAAUGGGCGCAAGCCUGAUCCAGCCAUGCCGCGUGAGUGACGAAGGCCUUAGGGUUGUAAAGCUCUUUUGGCGGGGAAGAUAAUGACGGUACCCGCAGAAUAAGCUCCGGCUAACUUCGUGCCAGCAGCCGCGGUAAUACGAAGGGAGCUAGCGUUGUUCGGAAUCACUGGGCGUAAAGCGCACGUAGGCGGAUGUGUCAGUCAGGGGUGAAAUCCCGGAGCUCAACUUCGGAACUGCCCUUGAUACAGCACGUCUUGAGUCCGAGAGAGGUGAGUGGAAUUCCUAGUGUAGAGGUGAGAUUCGUAGAUAUUAGGAAGAACACCAGUGGCGAAGGCGGCUCACUGGCUCGGUACUGACGCUGAGGUGCGAAAGCGUGGGGAGCAAACAGGAUUAGAUACCCUAGUAGUC
RNAcentral lists this ribosomal RNA (439 nucleotides) under uncultured bacterium. RNAcentral's name for it is "partial 16S ribosomal RNA". It matches the Rfam family "Bacterial small subunit ribosomal RNA", at positions 339 to 795 of the family's 1533-position model. The record is from RNAcentral.